UUAACUCAAAUUUGUAUGGAGUUUAUGUGUUUGCCUAUGUUUGACGCUAGGGAGCGCUGUUCCAACUGCUUACAAAUUUGAAUUA
Molecule: microRNA precursor, 85 nt
Filed under: Bombyx mori (domestic silkworm)
Lineage: Eukaryota; Metazoa; Arthropoda; Insecta; Lepidoptera; Bombycidae
Description: mir-2807 microRNA precursor family
Rfam family: mir-2807 microRNA precursor family
Source: Rfam by way of RNAcentral